GACGAACGCUGGCGGCGUGCCUAAUACAUGCAAGUCGAGCGAAGUUUUUCUGGUGCUUGCACUAGAAAAACUUAGCGGCGAACGGGUGAGUAACACGUAAAGAACCUGCCUCAUAGACUGGGACAACUAUUGGAAACGAUAGCUAAUACCGGAUAACAGUAUUUCUCGCAUGAGAGAUAUUUAAAAGUUGGUUAUGCUAACACUAUGAGAUGGCUUUGCGGUGCAUUAGCUAGUUGGUGGGGUAAAGGCCCACCAAGGCGACGAUGCAUAGCCGACCUGAGAGGGUGAUCGGCCACACUGGGACUGAGACAGGCCCAGACUCCUACGGGAGGCAGCAGUAGGGAAUCUUCCGCAAUGGGCGAAAGCCUGACGGAGCAACGCCGCGUGAGUGAAGAAGGAUUUCGGUUCGUAAAGCUCUGUUGUUAGGGAAGAAUGGAUAUGUAGUAACUAUACAUGUAAGAGACGGUACCUAACCAGAAAGCCACGGCUAACUACGUG
Molecule: ribosomal RNA, 498 nt
Filed under: uncultured bacterium
Lineage: Bacteria
Description: partial 16S ribosomal RNA
Rfam family: Bacterial small subunit ribosomal RNA
Source: RNAcentral